Molecule: ribosomal RNA, 468 nt
Filed under: uncultured bacterium
Lineage: Bacteria
Description: partial 16S ribosomal RNA
Rfam family: Bacterial small subunit ribosomal RNA
Source: RNAcentral
GACGAACGCUGGCGGCGUGCUUAACACAUGCAAGUCGAACGGAAAGGCCCUGCUUUUGUGGGGUGCUCGAGUGGCGAACGGGUGAGUAACACGUGAGUAACCUGCCCUUGACUUUGGGAUAACUUCAGGAAACUGGGGCUAAUACCGGAUAUGAGCUCCUGCUGCAUGGUGGGGGUUGGAAAGUUUCGGCGGUUGGGGAUGGACUCGCGGCUUAUCAGCUUGUUGGUGGGGUAGUGGCGUACCAAGGCUUUGACGGGUAGCCGGCCUGAGAGGGUGACCGGCCACAUUGGGACUGAGGUACGGCCCAGACUCCUACGGGAGGCAGCAGUGGGGAAGAUUGCACAAUGGGCGGAAGCCUGAUGCAGCAACGCCGCGUGCGGGAUGACGGCCUUCGGGGUGUAAACCGCUUUCGCCUGUGACGAAGCGUGAGUGACGGUAAUGGGUAAAGAAGCACCGGCUAACUACGUG